UNUGACUUGAGUGCAGAAGGGGAGAGUGGAAUUCCAUGUGUAGCGGUGAAAUGCGUAGAUAUAUGGAGGAACACCAGUGGCGAAAGCGGCUCUNUGGUCUGUCACUGACGCUGAGGCUCGAAAGCGUGGGUAGCGAACAGGAUUAGAUACCCUGGUAGUCCACGCCGUAAACGAUGAGUGCUAGGUGUUAGGCCCUUUCCGGGGCUUAGUGCCGGAGCUAACGCAAUAAGCACUCCGCCUGGGGAGUACGACCGCAAGGUUGAAACUCAAAGGAAUUGACGGGGGCCCGCACAAGCGGUGGAGCAUGUGGUUUAAUUCAAAGCAACGCGAAGAACCUUACCAGGUCUUGACAUCUCGAUGCUAUUCUUAGAGAUAGGAAGUUACUUCGGUACAUCGGAGACAGGUGGUGCAUGGUUGUCGUCAGCUCGUGUCGUGAGAUGUUGGGUUAAGUCCCGCAACGAGCGCAACCCUUAUUGUUAGUUGCCAUCAUUAAGUUGGGCACUCUAGCGAGACUGCCGGUAAUAAACCGGAGGAAGGUGGGGAUGACGUCAAAUCAUCAUGCCCCUUAUGACCUGGGCUACACACGUGCUACAAUGGUCGGUACAACGAGUUGCGAGCCGGUGACGGCAAGCUAAUCUCUGAAAGCCGAUCUCAGUUCGGAUUGGAGGCUGCAACUCGCCUCCAUGAAGUCGGAAUCGCUAGUAAUCGCGGAUCAGCACGCCGCGGUGAAUACGUUCCCGGGCCUUGUACACACCGCCCGUCACACCACGAGAGUUUGUAACACCCGAAGUCGGUGAGGUAACCUUUUAGGGGCCAGCCGCC
Molecule: ribosomal RNA, 822 nt
Filed under: uncultured bacterium
Lineage: Bacteria
Description: bacterial SSU rRNA
Rfam family: Bacterial small subunit ribosomal RNA
Source: RNAcentral